RNAcentral lists this ribosomal RNA (427 nucleotides) under uncultured bacterium. Its description in RNAcentral is "partial 16S ribosomal RNA". It matches the Rfam family "Bacterial small subunit ribosomal RNA", at positions 355 to 774 of the family's 1533-position model. The record is from RNAcentral.
UGGGGAAUAUUGCACAAUGGGCGCAAGCCUGAUGCAGCCAUGCCGCGUGUAUGAAGAAGGCCUUCGGGUUGUAAAGUACUUUCAGUCGGGAGGAAGGUGUUAAGGUUAAUAACCUUGACAAUUGACGUUACCGACAGAAGAAGCACCGGCUAACUCCGUGCCAGCAGCCGCGGUAAUACGGAGGGUGCAAGCGUUAAUCGGAAUUACUGGGCGUAAAGCGCACGCAGGCGGUUGAUUGAGUCAGAUGUGAAAUCCCCGGGCUUAACCCGGGAAUUGCAUCUGAUACUGGUCAGCUAGAGUCUUGUAGAGGGGGGUAGAAUUCCAUGUGUAGCGGUGAAAUGCGUAGAGAUGUGGAGGAAUACCGGUGGCGAAGGCGGCCCCCUGGACAAAGACUGACGCUCAGGUGCGAAAGCGUGGGGAACAAACA